CCAUUUUUUCCCUUACGGUGCCUGACGUCGUAUUUUAACGGUUAGAUGCCGUCAGGGAAAGAUGG
RNAcentral lists this microRNA precursor (65 nucleotides) under Marek's disease virus serotype 2 MDV2. RNAcentral's name for it is "microRNA mdv2-mir-M24 precursor". Its record names the gene mdv2-mir-M24. The record is from miRBase by way of RNAcentral. Lineage: Duplodnaviria; Heunggongvirae; Peploviricota; Herviviricetes; Herpesvirales; Orthoherpesviridae.